RNAcentral lists this ribosomal RNA (459 nucleotides) under uncultured bacterium. Its description in RNAcentral is "SSU rRNA". It matches the Rfam family "Bacterial small subunit ribosomal RNA", at positions 26 to 518 of the family's 1533-position model. The record is from RNAcentral.
AGGACGAACGCUGGCGGCGUGCUUAACACAUGCAAGUCGAACGGUGAACCCCUUCGGGGGGAUCAGUGGCGAACGGGUGAGUAACACGUGAGCAACCUGCCCCUGACUCUGGGAUAACUCAGGGAAACUUGAGCUAAUACCGGAUACGCCCUUACGGGGAAAGAUUUAUUGCCGAAGGAACGGCCCGCGUCCGAUUAGCUAGUUGGUGAGGUAAUGGCUCACCAAGGCUCCGAUCGGUAGCUGGCCUGAGAGGAUGACCAGCAUCACUGGGACUGAGACACGGCCCAGACUCCUACGGGAGGCAGCAGUGGGGAUAUUGCGCAAUGGGCGAAAGCCUGACGCAGCGACGCCGCGUGGGGAUGGAAGGCCUUCGGGUUGUAAACGUCCUUUCAGCAGGGACGAAGCGAAAGUGACGGUACCUGCAGAAGAAGCGCCGGCUAACUACGUGCCAGCAGCCGC